GAUGAACGCUGGCGGCGUGCCUAAUACAUGCAAGUCGAGCGAACGGACGAGAAGCUUGCUUCUCUGAUGUUAGCGGCGGACGGGUGAGUAACACGUGGAUAACCUACCUAUAAGACUGGGAUAACUUCGGGAAACCGGAGCUAAUACCGGAUAAUAUUUUGAACCGCAUGGUUCAAAAGUGAAAGACGGUCUUGCUGUCACUUAUAGAUGGAUCCGCGCUGCAUUAGCUAGUUGGUAAGAUAACGGCUUACCAAGGCAACGAUGCAUAGCCGACCUGAGAGGGUGAUCGGCCACACUGGAACUGAGACACGGUCCAGACUCCUACGGGAGGCAGCAGUAGGGAAUCUUCCGCAAUGGGCGAAAGCCUGACGGAGCAACGCCGCGUGAGUGAUGAAGGUCUUCGGAUCGUAAAACUCUGUUAUUAGGGAAGAACAUAUGUGUAAGUAACUGUGCACAUCUUGACGGUACCUAAUCAGAAAGCCACGGCUAACUACGUGCCAGCAGCCGCGGUAAUACGUAGGUGGCAAGCGUUAUCCGGAAUUAUUGGGCGUAAAGCGCGCGUAGGCGGUUUUUUAAGUCUGAUGUGAAAGCCCACGGCUCAACCGUGGAGGGUCAUUGGAAACUGGAAAACUUGAGUGCAGAAGAGGAAAGUGGAAUUCCAUGUGUAGCGGUGAAAUGCGCAGAGAUAUGGAGGAACACCAGUGGCGAAGGCGACUUUCUGGUCUGUAACUGACGCUGAUGUGCGAAAGCGUGGGGAUCAAACAGGAUUAGAUACCCUGGUAGUCCACGCCGUAAACGAUGAGUGCUAAGUGUUAGGGGGUUUCCGCCCCUUAGUGCUGCAGCUAACGCAUUAAGCACUCCGCCUGGGGAGUACGACCGCAAGGUUGAAGCUCAAAGGAAUUGACGGGGACCCGCACAAGCGGUGGAGCAUGUGGUUUAAUUCGAAGCAACGCGAAGAACCUUACCAAAUCUUGACAUCCUUUGACAACUCUAGAGAUAGAGCUUUCCCCUUCGGGGGACAAAGUGACAGGUGGUGCAUGGUUGUCGUCAGCUCGUGUCGUGAGAUGUUGGGUUAAGUCCCGCAACGAGCGCAACCCUUAAGCUUAGUUGCCAUCAUUAAGUUGGGCACUCUAAGUUGACUGCCGGUGACAAACCGGAGGAAGGUGGGGAUGACGUCAAAUCAUCAUGCCCCUUAUGAUUUGGGCUACACACGUGCUACAAUGGACAAUACAAAGGGCAGCGAAACCGCGAGGUCAAGCAAAUCCCAUAAAGUUGUUCUCAGUUCGGAUUGUAGUCUGCAACUCGACUACAUGAAGCUGGAAUCGCUAGUAAUCGUAGAUCAGCAUGCUACGGUGAAUACGUUCCCGGGUCU
RNAcentral lists this ribosomal RNA (1372 nucleotides) under uncultured bacterium. RNAcentral's name for it is "bacterial SSU rRNA". It matches the Rfam family "Bacterial small subunit ribosomal RNA", at positions 28 to 1381 of the family's 1533-position model. The record is from RNAcentral.